UACAGAGGUUGCAAGCGUUAAUCGGAAUUACUGGGCGUAAAGGGUGCGUAGGCGGUUUAUUAAGUGGGAUGUGAAAGACCAGGGCUUAACCUUGGGGUGUCAUCUUAUACUGGUAAACUAGAGUGAAGGAGAGGGCAGUGGAAUUUCCGGCGUAGCGGUGAAAUGCGUAGAUCUCGGAAAGAACACCGGUGGCGAAGGCGGCUGCCUGGCCUUUAACUGACGCUGAGGCACGAAAGCGUGGGUAGCGAACAGG
RNAcentral lists this ribosomal RNA (253 nucleotides) under uncultured bacterium. Its description in RNAcentral is "partial 16S ribosomal RNA". It matches the Rfam family "Bacterial small subunit ribosomal RNA", at positions 524 to 776 of the family's 1533-position model. The record is from RNAcentral.